AGUGAACGCUGGCGGUAGGCCUAACACAUGCAAGUCGAACGGCAGCACAGUAAGAGCUUGCUCUUACGGGUGGCGAGUGGCGGACGGGUGAGGAAUACAUCGGAAUCUACUUUUUCGUGGGGGAUAACGUAGGGAAACUUACGCUAAUACCGCAUACGACCUACGGGUGAAAGCAGGGGAUCUUCGGACCUUGCGCGAUUGAAUGAGCCGAUGUCGGAUUAGCUAGUUGGCGGGGUAAAGGCCCACCAAGGCGACGAUCCGUGGCUGGUCUGAGAGGAUAAUCAGCCACACUGGAACUGAGACACGGUCCAGACUCCUACGGGAGGCAGCAGUGGGGAAUAUUGGACAAUGGGCGCAAGCCUGAUCCAGCCAUACCGCGUGGGUGAAGAAGGCCUUCGGGUUGUAAAGCCCUUUUGUUGGGAAAGAAAAGCAGCAGGUUAAUACCCCGCUGUUCUGACGGUACCCAAAGAAUAAGCACCGGCUAACUUCGUG
This 492-nucleotide ribosomal RNA is filed under the name uncultured bacterium. Its description in RNAcentral is "partial 16S ribosomal RNA". It matches the Rfam family "Bacterial small subunit ribosomal RNA", at positions 29 to 507 of the family's 1533-position model. The record is from RNAcentral.